CGCUGGCGGCGCGCUUAACACAUGCAAGUCGCACGAGAAAGGGAGCAAUCCUAAGUAAAGUGGCGCACGGGUGAGUAACACGUGGAUCAUCUACCUUUUAGUGGGGAAUACCUCUGGGAAACCGGAGACAAUACCGCAUAAGCCCGCAAGGGGAAAGCAGCAAUGCGCUGAAAGAGGAGUCCGCGGCCGAUUAGCUAGUUGGCGGGGUAAUGGCCCACCAAGGCGAAGAUCGGUAGCCGGCCUGAGAGGGCACACGGCCACACUGGCACUGAAACACGGGCCAGACUCCUACGGGAGGCAGCAGUGGGGAAUCUUGCACAAUGGGCGAAAGCCUGAUGCAGCGACGCCGCGUGAGCGAUGAAGCCCUUCGGGGUGUAAAGCUCUUUCGACGGGAACGAUAAUGACGGUACCCGGAGAAGAAGCUGCGGCUAACUACGUGCCAGCAGCCGCGGUAAUACGUAGGCAGCGAGCGUUGUUCGGAAUUACUGGGCGUAAAGAGUGUGUAGGCGGUGUUCCCAGUCUGUUGUGAAAUCUCCCGGCUUAACUGGGAGGGUGCAGCGGAAACUAGAAUGCUAGAGGGUGGGAGAGGUAAGCGGAAUUCCUGGUGUAGCGGUAAAAUGCGUAGAUAUCAGGAGGAACACCUGUGGUGUAGACAGCUUACUGGACCACUUCUGACGCUGAGACACGAAAGCGUGGGUAGCAAACAGGAUUAGAUACCCUGGUAGUCCACGCCCUAAACGAUGCAUACUUGGUGUGAGCGAUUCAUUUCGUUCGUGCCGGAGCUAACGCGUUAAGUAUGCCGCCUGGGGAGUACGGUCGCAAGGCUGAAACUCAAAGGAAUUGACGGGGGCCCGCACAAGCGGUGGAGCAUGUGGUUCAAUUCGACGCAACGCGAAGAACCUUACCUGGGCUCGAAAUGCUAUGGACAGUCUGUGAAAGCAGAUCUUCUCGCAAGAGACCGUAGUAUAGGUGCUGCAUGGCUGUCGUCAGCUCGUGUCGUGAGAUGUUGGGUUAAGUCCCGCAACGAGCGCAACCCUUGUCCUGUGUUGCCACUCCCGUAAGGGAAGCACUCUCAGGAGACCGCCAGCGAUAAGUUGGAGGAAGGUGGGGGUGAUGUCAAGUCAUCAUGGCCUUUAUGUCCAGGGCUACACACGUGCUACAAUGGACGGUACAAAGCGCUGCAAACCCGCGAGGGGGAGCCAAUCGCAAAAAACCGUACUCAGUUCGGAUCGCAGGCUGCAACUCGCCUGCGUGAAGCUGGAAUCGCUAGUAAUGGCGUAUCAGAACGAUGCCGUGAAUACGUUCCCGGGCCUUGUACACACCGCCCGUCACAUCACGAAGGUGGAUUGUACUAGAAGUCCUAAUCAAACAGGCCCAAGGUAUGAUUCAUGAUUGGGGUGAAGUCGGAACAAGGUA
Molecule: ribosomal RNA, 1416 nt
Filed under: metagenome
Description: bacterial SSU rRNA
Rfam family: Bacterial small subunit ribosomal RNA
Source: RNAcentral